UUAGCGGCGGACGGGUGAGUAACACGUGGGCAACCUGCCCUGUAGAUCGGGAUAACAUCGAGAAAUCGGUGCUAAUACCGGAUAAUUUCUAGAAUCUCAUGGUUCUAGAAUAAAAGAUGGCUCCGGCUAUCACUACGGGAUGGGCCCGCGGCGCAUUAGCUAGUUGGUAAGGUAACGGCUUACCAAGGCGACGAUGCGUAGCCGACCUGAGAGGGUGAUCGGCCACACUGGGACUGAGACACGGCCCAGACUCCUACGGGAGGCAGCAGUAGGGAAUCUUCCGCAAUGGACGAAAGUCUGACGGAGCAACGCCGCGUGAGUGAUGAAGGAUUUCGGUUCGUAAAGCUCUGUUGUUAGGGAAGAACAAGUGCCGUUCAAAUAGGGCGGCACCUUGACGGUACCUAACCAGAAAGCCACGGCUAACUACGUGCCAGCAGCCGCGGUAAUACGUAGGUGGCAAGCGUUGUCCGGAAUUAUUGGGCGUAAAGCGCGCGCAGGCGGUCUUUUAAGUCUGAUGUGAAAGCCCACGGCUCAACCGUGGAGGGUCAUUGGAAACUGGGAGACUUGAGUACAGAAGAGGAGAGUGGAAUUCCACGUGUAGCGGUGAAAUGCGUAGAUAUGUGGAGGAACACCAGUGGCGAAGGCGACUCUCUGGUCUGUAACUGACGCUGAGGCGCGAAAGCGUGGGGAGCAAACAGGAUUAGAUACCCUGGUAGUCCACGCCGUAAACGAUGAGUGCUAGGUGUUAGGGGUUUCGAUGCCCUUAGUGCCGAAGUUAACACAUUAAGCACUCCGCCUGGGGAGUACGACCGCAAGGUUGAAACUCAAAGGAAUUGACGGGGGGCCCGCACAAGCAGUGGAGCAUG
This 866-nucleotide ribosomal RNA is filed under the name Halalkalibacter alkalisediminis. Its description in RNAcentral is "bacterial SSU rRNA". It matches the Rfam family "Bacterial small subunit ribosomal RNA", at positions 92 to 941 of the family's 1533-position model. The record is from RNAcentral. Lineage: Bacteria; Bacillati; Bacillota; Bacilli; Caryophanales; Bacillaceae.